Molecule: transfer RNA, 65 nt
Filed under: Dorcadia ioffi
Lineage: Eukaryota; Metazoa; Arthropoda; Insecta; Siphonaptera; Vermipsyllidae
Description: tRNA-Glu
Source: RNAcentral
AUUUAAAUAGUUUAUAAAAAACAUUACAUUUUCAUUGUAAAAUAAAGAAUAUUUCUUUUUAAAUA